This 571-nucleotide ribosomal RNA is filed under the name uncultured Staphylococcus sp. RNAcentral's name for it is "bacterial SSU rRNA". It matches the Rfam family "Bacterial small subunit ribosomal RNA", at positions 320 to 882 of the family's 1533-position model. Lineage: Bacteria; Bacillati; Bacillota; Bacilli; Caryophanales; Staphylococcaceae. The record is from RNAcentral.
UGAGACACGGUCCAGACUCCUACGGGAGGCAGCAGUAGGGAAUCUUCCGCAAUGGGCGAAAGCCUGACGGAGCAACGCCGCGUGAGUGAUGAAGGUCUUCGGAUCGUAAAACUCUGUUAUUAGGGAAGAACAUAUGUGUAAGUAACUGUGCACAUCUUGACGGUACCUAAUCAGAAAGCCACGGCUAACUACGUGCCAGCAGCCGCGGUAAUACGUAGGUGGCAAGCGUUAUCCGGAAUUAUUGGGCGUAAAGCGCGCGUAGGCGGUUUUUUAAGUCUGAUGUGAAAGCCCACGGCUCAACCGUGGAGGGUCAUUGGAAACUGGAAAACUUGAGUGCAGAAGAGGAAAGUGGAAUUCCAUGUGUAGCGGUGAAAUGCGCAGAGAUAUGGAGGAACACCAGUGGCGAAGGCGACUUUCUGGUCUGUAACUGACGCUGAUGUGCGAAAGCGUGGGGAUCAAACAGGAUUAGAUACCCUGGUAGUCCACGCCGUAAACGAUGAGUGCUAAGUGUUAGGGGGUUUCCGCCCCUUAGUGCUGCAGCUAACGCAUUAAGCACUCCGCCUGGGGAGUA